This 1345-nucleotide ribosomal RNA is filed under the name uncultured bacterium. RNAcentral describes it as "bacterial SSU rRNA". It matches the Rfam family "Bacterial small subunit ribosomal RNA", at positions 28 to 1381 of the family's 1533-position model. The record is from RNAcentral.
GAUGAACGCUAGCGGGAGGCCUAACACAUGCAAGCCGAGCGGUAUUGUUUCUUCGGAAAUGAGAGAGCGGCGUACGGGUGCGGAACACGUGUGCAACCUGCCUUUAUCUGGGGGAUAGCCUUUCGAAAGGAAGAUUAAUACUCCAUAAUAUAUUGAACGGCAUCGUUUAAUAUUGAAAGCUCCGGCGGAUAGAGAUGGGCACGCGCAAGAUUAGCUAGUUGGCGAGGUAACGGCUCACCAAGGCGAUGAUCUUUAGGGGGCCUGAGAGGGUGAUCCCCCACACUGGUACUGAGACACGGACCAGACUCCUACGGGAGGCAGCAGUGAGGAAUAUUGGUCAAUGGGUGCAAGCCUGAACCAGCCAUCCCGCGUGAAGGACGACUGCCCCAUGGGUUGUAAACUUCUUUUGUAUAGGGAUAAACCUACCCUCGUGAGGGUAGCUGAAGGUACUAUACGAAUAAGCACCGGCUAACUCCGUGCCAGCAGCCGCGGUAAUACGGAGGGUGCAAGCGUUAUCCGGAUUUAUUGGGUUUAAAGGGUCCGUAGGCGGACUUAUAAGUCAGUGGUGAAAGCCUGUCGCUUAACGAUAGAACUGCCGUUGAUACUGUAAGUCUUGAGUAUAUUUGAGGUAGCUGGAAUAAGUAGUGUAGCGGUGAAAUGCAUAGAUAUUACUUAGAACACCAAUUGCGAAGGCAGGUUACCAAGAUAUAACUGACGCUGAGGGACGAAAGCGUGGGGAGCGAACAGGACUAGAUACCCUGGUAGUCCACGCCGUAAACGAUGCUAACUCGUUUUUGGGCUUUAGGGCUCAGAGACCAAGCGAAAGUGAUAAGUUAGCCACCUGGGGAGUACGCUCGCAAGAGUGAAACUCAAAGGAAUUGACGGGGGCCCGCACAAGCGGUGGAUUAUGUGGUUUAAUUCGAUGAUACGCGAGGAACCUUACCAAGACUUGAAUGGGAAUUGACAGCUUUAGAAAUAGAGCUUUCUUCGGACAAUUUUCAAGGUGCUGCAUGGUUGUCGUCAGCUCGUGCCGUGAGGUGUUAGGUUAAGUCCUGCAACGAGCGCAACCCCUGUCACUAGUUGCCAUCAUUCAGUUGGGGACUCUAGUGAGACUGCCUACGCAAGUAGAGAGGAAGGUGGGGAUGACGUCAAAUCAUCACGGCCCUUACGUCUUGGGCCACACACGUAAUACAAUGGCCGGUACAGAGGGCAGCUACACAGCGAUGUGAUGCAAAUCUCGAAAGCCGGUCUCAGUUCGGAUUGGAGUCUGCAACUCGACUCUAUGAAGCUGGAAUCGCUAGUAAUCGCGCAUCAGCCAUGGCGCGGUGAAUACGUUCCCGGGCCU